RNA transcript from Lethenteron reissneri (Far Eastern brook lamprey), 6412 nucleotides. It is a transcript of the gene named sarcoplasmic reticulum histidine-rich calcium-binding protein-like, with no coding region annotated. The record is from RefSeq and is a predicted model, not a curated record. Lineage: Eukaryota; Metazoa; Chordata; Hyperoartia; Petromyzontiformes; Petromyzontidae.
CAGAGCUCCCGACUCACAUCCGGAGCUUCCGCGGGCGCCACCAUCACCGCAGCGCACGCGCGCACACAGACACAACGCCCGCCGUCGUAACGCCAUCAUCAACAUCGCCAUCGAGGCGGUCUUCCCGGCUGAUGGCAGUAAUCAUGGCUCUCAUCGCCGUGUUCAUAGCGACGGUCGCGUUAUCUUCCACCGCCUCAUCCCUGCCCGUGAGUGGAAAGCUGUCCCCGUCCGACGAAGCGGCGCUGAAGUGCAUCAUCGAGGUGCUGUCGGGAGCGCUGUCUCCCGCGCAGCCUCCCCCCGCAGCCAGCGCCGAGUGCAUGGAGAUCCUUCGUGGAGACAAUCGAAUCUCCACGCUGAUCCACCAGCACGACCUCCUGUCUCAGCUGGAGGAGAUCGCGGGCCGGGGCCCCGCAGGGGAGCGCGCGGGGACCGCUUCCACAGCAGCAGACGCCAAGUACGAGCCGAGCGAGGAGCGGCAGGAGACGAAGGAGAAGGAGGAGGUGGAGGAUGAUGAAGAGACACGUGUCGACCACGUGGAGAAGGACAAGAAAGACGCCAAGAAGAAGAAGCAGCAGCAGCAGGAGAAUGACGACGACGAUGAUGAGAAGGAGAAGGAGGAGGAGGGUGGCGAUGACGAGACCAAAUCUGGAGUGGGCAAGUCACGGGAGUUCCGCACGAAGGGGCCGGGGAGUGCCGAGCGUCGCGCAGGAGGAGUGGGAGGAGAAGGAACGAAGUGGAGCGGGGGCCGUGUCCGCGUGGAGCCGCGUCACGGAGAGGCGCCCCCCGAGAAGGCCACCGACCGCGAGCGCAGCAACGGGGAAGAGCCACGUGGACAGAUGCACGGCGCUCCCGACAACGGCGACGAAGAGGAGGAGGAGGAAGAGGAGCGGUCCCCACACCACGAGGACAAGGACGACGGCGUCGGUGACGAGGUGGCGAGGAGCGUGGGGACUGGCGGGGACGACGACGAGGUGGAGGAGGAGGACGCGAAUGUGGAGGAGGUCACGGAGACGCCGGCGCAUCGCGGAGACGCGGGGCCCCAGCGGGGGUCUCACGGCACGAGCGGCGUCGAGAGGAGCGCGGCGCGGAAGGCGCACGACGGCCGCCGCCGCCCCGCGGCCGAGCAGCUGCUGGAGUACCUGGACCAGAUCCGCCAGCGCCUGGGACAGAAGCAGCAGGAGCAGCAGGAGCAGGAGCAGCAGCGGCGGCGCGGCGACUACGGCGGCAGGCACCCCGACAAGGGGGAACCUCUCGCCGAGAGGAAAUCCGACGACGAAGACGACGACGACGACAGAGACGACGAGAAGGUUGAGUACGAGACGCGAAAGAGCGAGGGGGGCGGCCGGCACGGCCACGACGAGGUGGAAGACGAUGCCCGCGAGCAAGAGGAAGACGACGAUCGUACCGACGACGACGACGAGGGAGAAGAGCAGGUGGGCGGCGAGGAGGUGUUUGGCGACGGUGUCGGCAGCAGCCACCGCUGGGCGGGGAAGGUCCACUCGGAGGGGCGGCCUGCGUGGGGAGCGGCGCACCGGGCAGCGGCGAAGGGCGACGACGGGGAAGAGGGUGACGAAGAGAAGGAGGAGCAGGAGGAGGAGGUGGGGCGAGGAGGUGGGAAGGAAUGGGGAGGCGACAAGCGGGCCCAGGACACCCAGAGCCGCAAGCACAGCACGCUGAACAGCAAACAGCUGCUGGAGCUGAAGGCCAUGGAGCACGAGCUGGUGAAGAUUGCCGAACGACUCGGGGAGCGACUGGGAUGAGGCGGAGGAGAUGGGAUCGAGAAGAAGGGACAAAAGACGGGAACCCCCCCCCCCUCACCAAACCCCCCCACAAAACAUCAUAACACAUCGCGACCCGUCCAUCACGACGACUCGUGCGACAUCACGACUCGUCUGACGAUAUCACGACCCGUCUGACGACAUGACGACAUCACGACUGGUCCAACGAUAUCACGAUCCGUCUGACGACAUGACGACAUCAUGACUGGUCCAACGAUAUCACGACUCGUGCGACGACAUGACGACAUCACGACUGGUCCAACGACAUCACGACUCAUGCGACGACAUCACGACUGGUCCAACGACAUCACGACUCGUGCGACGACAUGACGACAUGACGACUGGUCCAACGAUAUCACGACUCGUGCGACGACAUGACGACAUCACGACUGGUCCAACGACAUCACGACUCGUGCGACGACAUGACGACAUCACGACUGGUCCAACGAUAUCACGACUCGUGCGACGACAUCGCGACUCCUCGUACCGACGGCGCUUGGCAGUGGCGGUCUCCAGCAGGCGGUUCGGGGCGGCUUGUUAAUUGACUAAUUGGGAGGCGCCAUUGGCCAUGGGUUUGUAAGAGGCUUCUUCCAUCCACUGCACGGUGGAGUUUGAAAAGCCCACGCAGCUUCUCAGGAUAAUCCCGCAUUUGUUUAUUUUGAAAUUCCGCCCGACUUCCCCCGUAGCAAUACUGCGAUUUUUCUCAGCGCAGGUGUCCGCAAAGGUGUCAUCCGUUAUGGAAAGCCAUAUUUAGAUAGACAGAGUUCGAUUCCUGGCCAGGGCUAACAUCGGUGGUGGGUGGAUAUCUGAAACGCUCGGUGGGUGCCCUCCACACUUGGCACGCCGGGGUCGGCACGUGGCGCGGUAAAGACGGGGAACCCAGAGGGACCGGCUCAGAUAUCGCUCGCUUGAUGCUAGCCGUGGUCGGGAAUCGAACUCGAGUCCGCCGGGUUUGUAGUGCAGCGCGGUGACCACUGCGCCACCCCUUCAACCGCGCUGUCCAAUUAUAGUCGUCUCUUAAUAACGAUACUAACAGAUCGUACUGUUGUGGAGACCAUGAAAAAAAUCGCCGUGCUGUUUCCCCCGAUAAUUGCGUCCCAAGCGCGGGCACCACGUGGCGAGGUUGAGCAAGGGACGCAGCAGAGUGGCUCCAGACGAUGGCAUCACAUUCGUCUCGCUCCUCUCCGUUGCCGUCCACGCGUCCAUCCCGCGCGCAGUCGAAGCGGUAUUUUGACAUUCUGAACGGGGUUGCAAUUUUGCCACGUCCACGUUUAGUGGAAGAAAAACAAAGUGAGAGUGAUGGAGGGGCGGUUUGGCGCAGUUAUCGGUGAGCAGGCCGAGACUGGUCAACUCACUGCGCCUGAGAACUCGCUUUCAGCCACUGCCCAUCUACCCGAGUUCAAACCCAGGAUCUCGGCCGUACUGGCUCGGCACUUUGACACCAGCCGGCCAGCGUCACCUUUGAUUCUUCAUCGUACUAACUCUUCCAUCCCCAAAUAUCGCUUGAGACUACCCAGCGUGUUACCUGCAGCAGGAAAAACAGGCCGAUGUGGAAUUUGUCACCUCUUCCAACUCGGCUUGGGAUGCAGAAUCCAGUGGUGGUGGGGUGGAGGGGGGUCAGGCUUAGGGCCAGGGUUAGGUCACUUGGCUCCAUAAUAUAAGGGUGAGAUUUCACAAUGAAAUUUGUUAACAUGAAUUGCCACGACAAUUACUGUGCAGAUUUUGAAUGGCAAAGUAGUUUUUUUUCUUCUUCUCUUAAAAGUAAUUUCCUGUUAUUGUGGCAGACAGCUACUGCCAGCUGCGGAAUGACAACGGCGAGUAACUAAAGACCGCUGCAAUUGGCAGUCUCGUCGAUCAGCAGAUCGCAUGCGGUGGGGUAAAGUGUGGCCGACUGCCACCUCUUCCCAAGACGUACUGGCCAGCGUGGAAGAGUAGGUCCACAACACCCUCUAGAGAGGCUCACUUAGAGCUCCCUCUAGAGGUGCAUAGGUGCUCUCUGCAGCUCCCUCUAGAGGUCUAGCGGAUGCCCUUCCGCCAGCAGGGGCCUGAGCAGGCAAUUGCAGGGCUGCUGCACCAUCACGUGCUUCCAAUUGGUAUCCACGAUCCAGCCUGCGGCAAUUGUUCUCACCAACGUUGCUGGUCUUGAGCCAAAGGUGUAAAUCAUGGGUGGGAAAAAACCGAUUUUUCCAAAAAACCCAGGCAUCGGGUUUUUUCUUUAUUACAAUUAAACCCGAUUUCGGGGAAUUAAAACCUGGUUUAAUGAAUACGAAACUCUGAUCCAAGGCUUAGGCUGCUUCUUCUGUCGGUGCUGCUAUCGUACUCGGGGGGGCCGUCGGGCACGGGGUAGUGGUAGAAUGCGGCGGGCAGGUUGGUCUUGAUGAACACGAGCUUCUCCACAAUCGUGGGCGCCAGUGAGUUCCUUAGCUUGGAAUGGAUGAAGCCCAUCGUUGAGAAGUUGGCGAAGUGCGGUUCUGCAAUUAGAACCAAUUACACCGGAUUUCUCCCAAUCUCAGAUGAUCGGGUUUAAUAUAAAAAGACAAUUAAGCCCGAUUGUAAAAAACCCGACUGUGCCACCCUUGGUGUAAAUCCCUUCUUUCUAUGAUGGCCUCCCCCCCCCCCCCCCCCCCACUUUUUGGGUCUUUAACUUCCUAACGCGACGACGCCCGACCGCUGACACUCCCUGCCAAUCGCCGGCCAGCAGCUCGUUUGACGGUGAGGGCCCAGCGGACGAAGUUGAUACGACGAGGCGGAGCUGGCUAGGGAGCUGUCAAUUGUUCGUGGACUGUCGCGGCGAGGGCUGUUAGCGAUCGCCUAUUAAGGUCAGCACGCACUCGGAUGAAUGAGGGGGGGUUACAUGAACCAACGCCGUGCUGACCGCAAUCGUCUUCCCCCCUUGUCCGACGUUCACGGCCGGAGCCGAAACCAAGUGCCGUGCUCAUUUUAGGCCGAGUCUACCACCUGCACGGCGGUGCGGGCCAGGUUUGGGUCGCGAGCGCUACCGACGUCGAGGCGCUAUCAUCACGCGACGCGGGACCCCCCCACCCCCCCCCAGUCGACUGGGACCAUAAUGCAGCUGGCGCCCACGAGGACACGCGACGCCUCGCGUGCGCGAACAAAAGUAUGAUAAUUGGUUUUUUACCCUUUUAUCCGGCAACAAAACUGACACCUUUUUUACAAGGAGUCAUGUUUGCAUAGACCACAAUACCUGCAGUCAUCAUGCAAACAAAAAACACAACUCUGAUAAUGUAUGCACUGUCCUUGAAGUUGAUUGGUCCACACCCGAGACAGCUUUCCUUAGAGCCUAGUGUCAGUUUUGUUGCCAGAUAAAAGGGUAAAAAAACAAUUCAUAUUUUUUCUUCUGGCAAAUGAGGUUCCAAUGGUGGGCGAACAAAGUCGCGCCCGUAUCUCUCUCCGAGGUGGGACUCGCCCUGACGACCACCCCCGCUGCGCUGUGUGCGGACACAGCAGGGCAACGAUGCGCUUGACACUGCCCCCCCCCACUCCACACACACAGCCGCAAAGGCAGCGACCAGGCGGGGUGGUUACGCGUCCACGUGUUUGCAUCUGCCAUGCUCACCCCCAAUGCCCCCCCGCCCCCCUUGUAAUUCACGCCAAUCCUUUCAAGAGGCACGUGUCCAGCUCGCUGUAGCGUUUCACGAUAAUUAACAAAGUUUUUUUUUUUAACAACCCGCGUUCAAGCGACCUCCCCUCCCGCAGGACCGGUCGUAUAUAAUCCAGAACACGUUUUGUAAAAAGAAAAACAGCAAAAACCCCGCCACUGCUUUUAGGACCGUGUAACUGCUCGCCAUGCGCUGCGACUCGACCAAUUUCCUAAGAGCAGGCCUGCUUCCACUACCACCACACGCACACCUUUUAUGCAAGUUGUUUAUUGUUGUUGUCCUGGAUUACACGGGGGGGGGGGGGGGAGGGCUGAGAUGAAUUAAGCGCUCGUCGUUUUAAUUAAGCAAAGGGCAGAGCAGCUUUUGCUCCCAAUGUAAAGUCUGAAAGGCACGGCGGCCGUCGCUUCGCAAAUUGCCGCGUGACUGGAUGACCGAUGUCAAUUUUAUUGAUUGUAUCGAAGGGCUACAAAAGUUCUAAUUUGGCACCACAAAUGUUGUUAAGUCCGUACUUUCGAAAUGUACGUAGCCUUUGUCAGUCCGCUGCUGGAUGAAGGCCUGCCCACACUGCAUCAGUCACCUGGGUUGACCAUACUUCACCAUAAUAUCGGUCAGUAGAAAGAAAAAAAAAACUCAAUUUAAAUGUCACGGCCCAGAGAUUUCAUCGCUUUCGCUCAUUUGGGCAAGGGUCGGCCCGAACGUUCCUUCCGCAUUGCCCCUGUGCUAAAAACUAUAAACCAGCCGGUUUAAAAACAAUAAACACUGCGCGCCCUCUGUGGUGACUCGCAUCAGAUCUGAGACGCGUCCUCCACCAGGUGGGUGGUCGGCCCCGUUAUUCGCCCGCCGGCUCCAGCCCGCCGGUGCCCCCCGAGGUGGCCACCAGCCACACGGCCGGCUCCCUACGCCAGACCAGAGGUCGCAACCAGGUACCUGAUACCCGUACCCUACCCGAUACCCGGCUACCCGUACCCGGCUGGGUACGGGUACCCGUUUGCGACCCUGGUGCGGCCGGGUACG